UGAGUUUGAUUAUGGCUCAGGAUGAACGCUAGCUACAGGCUUAACACAUGCAAGUCGAGGGGCAGCAUGAAUAUUGGCUUGCCAAUAUUUGAUGGCGACCGGCGCACGGGUGAGUAACACGUAUCCAACCUUCCGGUUACUCGGGGAUAGGCUUUCGAAAGAAAGAUUAAUACCCGAUGUUGUGUAUCUUUCUCCUGAUUGAUACGCCAANGGAUUCCGGUAACCGAUGGGGAUGCGUUCCAUUAGGCAGUUGGCGGGGUAACGGCCCACCAAACCUUCGAUGGAUAGGGGUUCUGAGAGGAAGGUCCCCCACAUUGGAACUGAGACACGGUCCAAACUCCUACGGGAGGCAGCAGUGAGGAAUAUUGGUCAAUGGACGGAAGUCUGAACCAGCCAAGUAGCGUGAAGGAUGACUGCCCUCUGGGUUGUAAACUUCUUUUAUACGGGAAUAACAUGAGGUACGGGUACCUUAGGGCAUGACCGUAUGAAUAAG
RNAcentral lists this ribosomal RNA (493 nucleotides) under Bacteroides pyogenes. RNAcentral describes it as "bacterial SSU rRNA". It matches the Rfam family "Bacterial small subunit ribosomal RNA", at positions 1 to 490 of the family's 1533-position model. Lineage: Bacteria; Pseudomonadati; Bacteroidota; Bacteroidia; Bacteroidales; Bacteroidaceae. The record is from RNAcentral.